GAAAAAUUAAAAAUAAAAAAAAAAUUGAAACAAUUUGUUAUUUUAUUUAUGAAAAUGAAACAAAUAUUGCAUAGUUAGAGGAGGUUGCUCAUCAAUCAGGAACUAGUUCAGAUUGCACAAAACUCCUAGCUACCCGCAAUUUGUAGUCUGUAGUACAAAGAUAUGGGAACUCUGUUAUUUUGACCGUUGGUUGGCAGUAAGCUAAACUUGAUUAGGUAAGUUGGAAUCUGAAAUUGUGGUUAGUUUUGCUAUGCACGUUCUGAUAUUGCGAGGGCAAAAAUUAUCCGCUUGCAGGUCCAUUAUUCUACAUGGGAUGGUACCAUCUAUUCUACCAAUACAACCCUGAUUCAGCUGUGUGGGGCAACAUCACGUGGGGCCAUGCUGUAUCAAGGGA
RNAcentral lists this unclassified non-coding RNA (394 nucleotides) under Hevea brasiliensis (rubber tree). Lineage: Eukaryota; Viridiplantae; Streptophyta; Magnoliopsida; Malpighiales; Euphorbiaceae. The record is from RNAcentral.